GGCUCAGGAUUAACGCUGGCGGCGUGCCUAAUACAUGCAAGUCGAAUGGUAGCAAUACCAUGGCGAACGGGUGAGUAACACGUAGGUAACCUGUCUUUAAGCCGAGGAUAACCAUUGGGAACGAUGGAUAAUACUGGAUAGGACAUUUGAAGGCAUCUUUAGAUGUUUAAAGAUUUAUCACUUAGAGAGGGGCCUGCGGCGCAUUAGCUAGUUGGUGAGGUGAAGGCUUACCAAGGCGAUGAUGCGUAGCCGGACUGAGAGGUUGAACGGCCACAAUGGAACUGAGAACGGUCCAUACUCCUACGGGAGGCAGCAGUAGGGAAUUUUCGGCAAUGGGCGGAAGCCUGACCGAGCAACGCCGCGUGAACGAAGAAGUAUUUCGGUAUGUAAAGUUCUUUUAUUAGGGACGAAAAGACAGAUUGACGGUACCUAAUGAAUAAGCUCCGGCUAACUACGUGCCAGCCGCGGC
RNAcentral lists this ribosomal RNA (469 nucleotides) under uncultured bacterium. RNAcentral's name for it is "bacterial SSU rRNA". It matches the Rfam family "Bacterial small subunit ribosomal RNA", at positions 21 to 518 of the family's 1533-position model. The record is from RNAcentral.